This 392-nucleotide long non-coding RNA is filed under the name Theobroma cacao (cacao). RNAcentral's name for it is "long non-coding RNA (TCAC_LNC006420)". Lineage: Eukaryota; Viridiplantae; Streptophyta; Magnoliopsida; Malvales; Malvaceae. The record is from RNAcentral.
UCAAAACAAAAACAUGAUUUAUGUGAAAUGUGAAUUUUAAUAGCCUUGGCAGUCUCGGUAGGAUGCCUCGACCAAGGUGUCCUUGAGAAUGGAUUUAUGGCACAAGCCUAGUUUUUAUGAGAUUCAUAAGCCUCUUCACGUAUUUUAAAUGAAAUGUAUUCUAAUGCUGUGACCCAAUUUACGAUGAUUUACUUUAUUGUCUCCGUGUACUCAACUCUAGAUGUUUAUGAUGAUGUCUGUUUACUCAUUAGGAUUUUAUAAUCUCACCACCCUCAUUUCCAUCCAUUUCAGGUUCAGUAUAGACUGUAGAUAGCUGAUCUCAUCGAGGACUACCGUUAGAUCUGCAUUUUCCAAACUGUAAGUUCACAGUCCUCUUUACUUUUGUUUAUUCG